This 575-nucleotide unclassified non-coding RNA is filed under the name Hevea brasiliensis (rubber tree). Lineage: Eukaryota; Viridiplantae; Streptophyta; Magnoliopsida; Malpighiales; Euphorbiaceae. The record is from RNAcentral.
GUCCUAUGGACUAACUUCUUUACUCACACCCGUCCAUGAUGUGGGAACAGCAGGUUCAAAAUUAAAAUAAUAACUAAAUAAGGAUAAAAUAAAAUGGUCUAUCUCAACACAUCCAAGAAAAAUAAAAUUUAAAACAGAAAUGAAGAAUAGCUGUAUGAAAUGAUUUACAGCUUUAUGCUACCAUACUAUCGCUAAAAUAAUACUUAAAUCUUAACACAUUUCAAUCCAUGUUCUUACUUCAUAAGCAAUUUCACUUGAUAAAACUUAACAUGAAAGGUGAAAAAUUCUGGUAGAAAUUUCCUUUAUGCCUACCAGAAAAGAAAUAUUUCAAAUCAAUGUGAUCACGUUUCUCCGUAGCAUUCAAUUAUAUUAUACAUGGUAGCAGAGAGUAUUAUUAGACUAGUUCAUUGUUGGCAAUGCCAUCUUUUGCAAAUAAGGUUUUAAAAUUCAAAUUUUUACUACACUAAUUCCUGGCUCAACUAGUUUGAAAAUUUCCCACUUAUUACCAAGACACAUUUGGACUAACCAAUUCACGGAUUUCCUGUUCAAAAAGCUUGGAAGCUGCACCAGCACUG